UAGGGAAUCUUCGGCAAUGGACGAAAGUCUGACCGAGCAACGCCGCGUGAGUGAAGAAGGUUUUCGGAUCGUAAAACUCUGUUGGUAGAGAAGAACGUUGGUGAGAGUGGAAAGCUCAUCAAGUGACGGUAACUACCCAGAAAGUCACGGCUAACUACGUGCCAG
This 165-nucleotide ribosomal RNA is filed under the name uncultured bacterium. RNAcentral's name for it is "partial 16S ribosomal RNA". It matches the Rfam family "Bacterial small subunit ribosomal RNA", at positions 355 to 511 of the family's 1533-position model. The record is from RNAcentral.